UGUCGUGAGAUGUUCGGUUAAGUCCGCUAACGAGCGCAACCCUCGCUGUGUGUUACAAGUGUCACACGGAACUGCCGGUCAUAAACCGGAGGAAGGUGGGGAUGACGUCAAGUCAGCAUGGCCUUUAUAUCCUGGGCUACACACACGCUACAAUGGGAAGGGACAAUAGGUUGCGAAGCCGCGAGGCGGAGCCAAUCCAGCAAAACUUCCCUCAGUUCAGAUUGCAGGCUGCAACUCGCCUGCAUGAAGUUGGAGUUGCUAGUAAACGCAGGUCAGCCAUACUGCGUUGAAUACGUUCCCGGGGCUU
Molecule: ribosomal RNA, 307 nt
Filed under: uncultured Anaerolineaceae bacterium
Lineage: Bacteria; Bacillati; Chloroflexota; Anaerolineae; Anaerolineales; Anaerolineaceae
Description: bacterial SSU rRNA
Rfam family: Bacterial small subunit ribosomal RNA
Source: RNAcentral